Molecule: long non-coding RNA, 185 nt
Organism: Cervus elaphus (red deer)
Lineage: Eukaryota; Metazoa; Chordata; Mammalia; Artiodactyla; Cervidae
Exons: 3
Source: RefSeq, a predicted model, not a curated record
UCAGUUCAGUGGUUCAGACAUGUUCGACUCUUUGUGACUCCAUGGACUGCAGCAUGCCAGGCUUCCCUGUCCAUCACCAACUCCCAGAACUUCCUCAAAAUCAUGUCCAUUGAGUCGGUGAUGCCAUCCAACCAUCUCAUCCUCUGUCGUCUCUUUCUCCUGCUGCCUUCAAUUUUACCCAGCAU